Molecule: ribosomal RNA, 38 nt
Filed under: Dendrobium spatella
Lineage: Eukaryota; Viridiplantae; Streptophyta; Magnoliopsida; Asparagales; Orchidaceae
Description: partial 18S ribosomal RNA
Source: RNAcentral
ACAAGGUUUCCGUAGGGUGACCUGCGGAAGGAUCAUUG